CAAAAAGCCUGAAGGGAAUGAUUCACCAGAACAAAUACAAUAAUCUGCAGUUGGUCUGGUGACUAUAGUGUCCUUUAAAAUUGUUGUGGAAUACAUGGUCACCCCUCGUUUCAAAUGAAUUGAGCUGUCUAACUGUGGAUUCCCAUCUGUAGCUGGACUGCAGCUUCCAUAAUCCUUUCCAUGCAGUAGGAUGGCAGAGAAUGAGUUAUAGUCCCAAGGGUUUGGACGGCAGUUAUAUUUAAUGGACGUUGAGGAGCUCUGAGACAGACCGUUAAGUGUAUCUUUUGAUAUGUAGGAAUUAGCUUUCUCCAAAUGCAGUGUCAUGCCCAGGAGUGAAAGCACCUUUUUUCACUCGUGAUUGAUAUCCCACAAAUAAAUAAAUGUAUGGGUGCCUCUCUCACAAGUGUCUUUAGCAGUUAAAGCGUUACUCCAAUCAUCAUAACUACUGCAACUGUCUGUAGUGAUUGAUCCAAGGUUGGUUGCCCAGGUAUUGGCGCAAACCAUUUAGCGAUGGUUUUCCACCUUAUCUGGAUAGUUGCCAAGCUCUGAUGCUCCAUGGUGGCCUGGUGAUGGACUUUCAUUGGCUGAGAGAAUCAGCUGACAAUCCAGCUCGGAACUCUAGUCCCAUGCUGGCCAUGGACAUCCUGGUGAAGUUGCUACAGGUGGAGGUACAGCUCCAGCAGCAGAGGAGGGGUUAAACACCAUCCUAACAGUAUUUCACAGUGAAACUCUGUACAUACAGGCUCCAGACCACCUCUUCAAAUUACUGGAGUGGUCAUGGUGCUUGGACUAACCCUUUAAAAGAAGCUCUUCCCAAGUUAAAUAUUAAUUUCAAUUUAGGUAUACCAGUAACUGGUAGUUUGCCAUCAUACCCCACCGUGAUCUUCUUCAGUAUUUGAUAGUAUCUAUGUGCUAUGUUGCUUUCUAUGCAAAAUAUUAUUAAAGUUGUGACACAAAAAGAGCACCCAAACUCCAUGCUUCUCUGUUAAUCUACACAUUUGACAUGAUCUGAUAGGCAUGUUGUUGUAAUGUGACCGACGCGGUAUUGGUCGCUGCAUUUUACAUUGCAUUUCGCUUAGAGAUAAUUUGAUUUCUGGAAGAAUGUAGUUUGAUUAUGGUUUUCUUCCACUGUACUGAAGAGAGCAGGAUAAAUAUUUGAUUUCUUGAUCAGUGACAUUUGGGGCAUUAACAUAUAUAGCACAUUUCUAUAUUUCUAAUUGGGGACCAUAUAUAUAAAAUGGAGAUUAGUUAUUUAGGUUUCUCCUUUUCAUUUUUAAUUAUAGCCCAAACGGUGAUGGCUCAUUUAUUGGCAUUACACAUUACUUGUUCUUUAUCAGUGACUUGGGACUAUCCUAUAGGUUGUAAGAGGACCUUGCAUCCAAUCGCGUCAGCCAAUAGGAAACUGGGAAUUACCGGAGCUUCUUAAUGGGACACUAAAGGCAACCAAACCACUUCAUCUCAUUGAAGUGGUCUGGGUGCAGUGUCCCAGGUCCCUUAACUCUGCAAAGUUAAUUAUUCCUGUUUCUAAGAAACUGCAAUAAUUACCUUUCAGGGAUAACUCCACCUCUAGUCCUGCAAUGUAAAACAGACUGCAGACAGUCAACAGAGGCACUUCCCGGAGUUUCAUAGAGUUUGACUCCAUGAAAUGAUGCUGGAUGUCCUCCUGCUCUCUAUGAGGACGUCCAGCAGAUGACUGUGACCCAGGGCCAAUGGACGAAGGUGCUGAAAUGGGGUAAUCAGGUUAGUUUUUGUGAAAUCUUUUUAUUCUGAACACUAAUGUGUUCGUUUUAAAGUAGAGCUCUGUUUUAAUUAAUUUGGGAAUAAUAAUUAUCCAGUCCUAUAUGCUCAUGACUUCAAAAAUCUAUCCUUUUACCAUUAAGAUACACCCUGACUCUAUAGGGUGCUGUGUAUUAUAAUUUAAUUUAUCUAUUAUCUGCUAAUAAUUGGACAGUGAAACCUUACAUAUAGCCAUAUUUGAUUCUGAAGUGUGUGCCAUUAAAUUUUUUUUACAUAUUCAUUCACUCCUUCCUAACAUGAAUUUGCAUUUGUUACAUUAAAUAUUGGUUUUGAUAUUGUAAACUGAAUUCAUUUUGUCCAUUUACUUUGUAAUUGAUUUUUUGAAUUACCAUGAAACGUUAAGUGUAGAGCUCUAUUUCCAAGCUUUGAUUGCCCAGAAAUUGAAUCUAUGUCUGGGAAUAUGUCAGUGUUUAACCCCUUUAAGAACCAAAUAUUACACUAUGCUGUCAUUACAUCCUUUGUCCUUGUAUACUCAGUGUCGUAAUGUAAAGGCUCUGGCACUAAUAUUCAGUCCUAUAGGAUUAAAAAUAACCCCGCAAUCUCUGUAUUCUAGUGAUCACAUGCAAUUUCCCUUCUUCCCAGUUCCUCGUAUUGCUAACAGUUUCUCGUACAACACACAGUGUUAAAGCCACUACUUACUGUGCAAUGGAGCCAGGACAUGCCUGACUCCAUAACCGCUACAACGGUGCAUAGCGGACUCCAGCUAGGUUUACCCUGGGAAAGUGCUUGUGCAUCCCAGGCACCAUAACCACUACAGCCUCCUGUAUUUGUUUUUGCGUGUACCUGUAAACAAAGCAAUUUUUGUAAAGCCUUGAUAGAAC
RNAcentral lists this long non-coding RNA (2618 nucleotides) under Pelobates cultripes (western spadefoot toad). The record is from RNAcentral. Lineage: Eukaryota; Metazoa; Chordata; Amphibia; Anura; Pelobatidae.